GAUGAACGCUGGCGGCGUGCCUAAUACAUGCAAGUCGAGCGAACAGACGAGGAGCUUGCUCCUCUGACGUUAGCGGCGGACGGGUGAGUAACACGUGGAUAACCUACCUAUAAGACUGGGAUAACUUCGGGAAACCGGAGCUAAUACCGGAUAAUAUAUUGAACCGCAUGGUUCAAUAGUGAAAGACGGUUUUGCUGUCACUUAUAGAUGGAUCCGCGCCGCAUUAGCUAGUUGGUAAGGUAACGGCUUACCAAGGCAACGAUGCAUAGCCGACCUGAGAGGGUGAUCGGCCACACUGGAACUGAGACACGGUCCAGACUCCUACGGGAGGCAGCAGUAGGGAAUCUUCCGCAAUGGGCGAAAGCCUGACGGAGCAACGCCGCGUGAGUGAUGAAGGUCUUCGGAUCGUAAAACUCUGUUAUUAGGGAAGAACAAAUGUGUAAGUAACUGUGCACGUCUUGACGGUACCUAAUCAGAAAGCCACGGCUAACUACGUG
Molecule: ribosomal RNA, 497 nt
Filed under: uncultured bacterium
Lineage: Bacteria
Description: partial 16S ribosomal RNA
Rfam family: Bacterial small subunit ribosomal RNA
Source: RNAcentral